This 300-nucleotide ribosomal RNA is filed under the name uncultured bacterium. Its description in RNAcentral is "bacterial SSU rRNA". It matches the Rfam family "Bacterial small subunit ribosomal RNA", at positions 399 to 691 of the family's 1533-position model. The record is from RNAcentral.
GCGUGCGGGAAGAAGGCCUUCGGGUUGUAAACCGCUUUUGUCAGGGAAGAAAUCUUCUGGACUAAUACUCUGGGAGGAUGACGGUACCUGAAGAAUAAGCACCGGCUAACUACGUGCCAGCAGCCGCGGUAAUACGUAGGGUGCAAGCGUUAAUCGGAAUUACUGGGCGUAAAGCGUGCGCAGGCGGUUAUGCAAGACAGGUGUGAAAUCCCCGAGCUCAACUUGGGAACUGCACUUGUGACUGCAUAGCUAGAGUACGGUAGAGGGGAGUGGAAUUCCGCGUGUAGCAGUGAAAUGCGU